GCUGGCGGCACGCCUAACACAUGCAAGUCGAACGAAGUAGCAAUACUUAGUGGCAGACGGGUGAGUAACAUGUAGGUAUCUGCCCUUUGGCCUGGAAUAACACGAGGAAACUUGUGCUAAUACCGGAUAAGUCUUUACGGAGAAAGCUUUAUGCACCAUUGGAUGAGCCUGCACUUGAUUAGUUUGUUGGUGGGGUAAUGGCCUACCAAGACUGUGAUCAAUAGCUGAUUUGAGAGGAUGAUCAGCCACAUUGGGACUGAGACACGGCCCAAACUCCUACGGGAGGCAGCAGUGGGGAAUCUUGCACAAUGGAGGAAACUCUGAUGCAGCGAUGCCGCGUGAGUGAAGAAGGCCUUUGGGUUGUAAAGCUCUUUCGUCGGGGAAGAAAAUGACUGUACCCGAAUAAGAAGGUCCGGCUAACUUCGUGCCAGCAGCCGCGGUAAUACGAAGGGACCUAGCGUAGUUCGGAAUUACUGGGCUUAAAGAGUUCGUAGGUGGUUGAAAAAGUUGGUGGUGAAAUCCCAGAGCUUAACUCUGGAACUGCCAUCAAAACUUUUCAGCUAGAGUAUGAUAGAGGAAAGCAGAAUUUCUAGUGUAGAGGUGAAAUUCGUAGAUAUUAGAAAGAAUACCAAUUGCGAAGGCAGCUUUCUGGAUCAUUACUGACACUGAGGAACGAAAGCAUGGGUAGCGAAGAGGAUUAGAUACCCUCGUAGUCCAUGCCGUAAACGAUGUGUGUUAGACGUUGGAAAUUUAUUUUCAGUGUCGCAGCGAAAGCGAUAAACACACCGCCUGGGGAGUACGACCGCAA
Molecule: ribosomal RNA, 808 nt
Filed under: uncultured Pelagibacteraceae bacterium
Lineage: Bacteria; Pseudomonadati; Pseudomonadota; Alphaproteobacteria; Candidatus Pelagibacterales; Candidatus Pelagibacteraceae
Description: bacterial SSU rRNA
Rfam family: Bacterial small subunit ribosomal RNA
Source: RNAcentral